Non-coding RNA from Erythranthe guttata (spotted monkey flower), 1201 nucleotides. NCBI's taxonomy places the organism in Eukaryota, Viridiplantae, Streptophyta, Magnoliopsida, Lamiales, Phrymaceae. The record is from RefSeq and is a predicted model, not a curated record.
GCCCCGCAUUUUCAUAAGCAUAUUAUAUGAAAUUAUAUUGAGUAAAUCGAUAAUGUCCAUUUCAUGAAUUAACAAGUGUAAGUUUAUUGCAUCCUAACUGUUUAUGUGGUUCAUAAUAUUUGAUUAAAUGUGCGAUCGACUCGAUUUGAUUAGAUGAUUAAGUAAUGUGAUUAAAUGAAUUAUGUGCUUUAAUUGAAGAAUUAAUGUAUGCAAUGUAUCUUUAAUUGUUUUACGAUUCAUGGUUUAAUGAAUGUAGAUACAUAUAUGUGAAUGUUGUGAGUAUAUAUAUAUGCUAGGUGAGUUAUGAUGUGGUGAUUAAUCUAUGCAAUUUAUCUCUAAUUAUUUUAUGAUUUAAUAAGUAUAGAUAUAUCUAUUAGUGAAUUGUGUAUAUUUGCCAUGUAUGUGCCGUGUGUGUUUGAAGUAUGUAGUCUAGUAUAUAACCUAUUUUCUGAAUUGCUAUUAGGACCCCCAUGGUUUUAGAUAUUGCAUAAUAGCCCUCAUGUAAAUUUCUCAAGACUUUCCAAGCAUAAGCUUGUAAAUUGCCAUUUACCUCUUUCUUCCUUUCCUCGUUUUUCACGGCAGCAUAACCCACACACACAUAAAUCUCUUUUUCUCCACUUUGAGUCAACCAAGGAAGACUCCUCUUCUUUUACUCCCAACUUCCCUACGACAUCCCUUCACUCUUUCUCCUCUCACGUCACGACAGCUAACACACAAAAGCAGAAUCCCCUUCUCGAGAACUCAUCAAAUUUCCCCUCCUUUCUCUGGGAAGUUUGAUAUCUAAUUAAUGGGAUUAAUUUCCCUAUAAAAUCCCCCAAACUAUCAAGAGGAUCCAAGUUCAGCCCCAAAAGCCUUCAAGCCAAAGCUCCGAGAAUCCUUCGGUUGCCCCUUCUUCCUUAUAUUCGAUUUUCUUCAAAGAGGUUCUCGAAACGGUUAUGGAGGCUGGCGGAGUGGAGUUCGAGGAAUCACGAGCCUUUAUGUCAAUCGAGUGUUUUUAAAGAUUAUAUUAGUCAUUCCAUUUUCAAAGUGUUUUAAAUUGAAAAGUUGAUAAAUACAUUUAUAAUGUACUCUGAUUUAGGAAUCUAGUCUAUUAAAUCGGGGUAUAUGUAAAAUAAAGUUAUUUAUCUUCCGCUGUAUUACAAGUAUUGCUUUAAAACCUCGUUCAUGUUUAAGUAGCACUCUUUAUGAAAAUUUUAUCUUU